CCUCAACAUUGUUUUUACUUUCCACAUUUUUUACACAGUGGCUACUUUUUUCAGUGAGGGUGUCUGCAUUGUCUGGAAAAUCUGUUUCCUUCAGUUUGACAUUUCCAUGGUCUCCCUGAAAAGCUUCAGACGGCUGUGACACUCUCUUGGGGAUCUUGCGCCAAAUGCAAUUUUUCACCGAUGGGUUGAUGUCUCUCCACAUCAGAAUCAAGAUAGCUCGGGUCAGAAGCAUCACCAGGUGUGUAAGCUGAAUACAAAUGUGUCCCAUACAUUGAAUGAUAGGAGUCUUCUUCACUGAACUCUCUUUGUCUAACUUCCUGUCUAGUAGUUAUUGUUUCUGCUUGAAGAUUUUCUGUCUGCACAUUUUGCUCAACUUCCUUUGUAAGUUGGUGGAAUGGUUCAAUUGCAGACUGCUCAGAAUUCUCUUUUUUACGUUGUCUAUUUGAGCCUAGCUUUCUCCUGCUUGACUUGUGAUAAGUUCCCAAAGGGCUAUGUUCUUCAUUUGACAACCCGAUGAAAGAUUCACCAAUCUCUUCUGCUUGAUCUCCUUCACUCAAUUCCUCUGGCAUUUCAACAUGUGGUGCCACCCUCCGACGAGAGCCAAUUCUCUUUUUUCCAGUAGGACCAGGCAUUAUGUGCCUUCCUACAUACAAAUACAGCACAAACAUGUGAAUAAAUGUAGGAUACAUGCCAACUCAUUUUAAACAUUAUCCUAAAUGUCCAGAAUAUUUCAUUCCUUGUACAAGUUCACAGUAAAUAUACUUACCCUCAUGUGUGCCUGUGUCAAGUAGUCAGCUUUUGAGCUAUGAAAGCAGUCCAGACCAGAGGGGAAGUAAAUCAUACACGGGGAGGUGUGUCCUUUACAGCAAGCUUCCUGUGUGGCUUAUACUUGAAGGAUGAUUAAUCUUUUAGAUUUUGUGUUGUACUUUAAUACAAACAUGCUAAAUCUAAAAUAAGGCUCAACAAUGUCUGACUUAGGAAAAAACUUUUAUUGAUGAAACGACUCACCAUCAGCAAAGUUGUCAAGAGCUCAAAAGGGAAAUGUUUUGCUUUGAAGAUGCAACUGAAAAACAGUUGCUGCUUUAGCUAACAAACCUUGUCAAAUCAACAAACAAACCUUCCAUCACUAAUUAACAGUGAAAUUUAAAAAAAAACUUUUAAUUAAAUUGGAUAGCAGGAGAAUUUAAGAUCAUAACCUACCAAACACCCAACCAAUCAUGCUGAAUGAACAAACAAAAAAAACAAGGGGAAAAAAAAAAAUUACUGUCAAAAACUGACUGUAAUGACAGUUACGAGACAACCCGAACACCACAUUGAGUUGUUAAGUAACAACUAAAAAGAUAGCAUGACUAUAAAAAAAAUAGGAGUUCCCACACACACAAGCCAUUUUGUGAGGUCCUCAUUUCCUGUCAUUAGAACGAGAGCGGCUGCAGAGGAAAGAGCAGAAACAAUAGCACGAUUAAGCAACAAGUAAGAUUUCAGCGAGAGCAUAUUACUAACAUGACAAUAGUGACACAGACCUCCUUGACCGCGAGAAUGAUCUUGAGCGCUUACGGGUCUUGUCUCUGGAAGUAGACCGAUAUCUGCGUUUGUCUCGCGAAAGAGACCUGGAGGGAAAAAUUAUAUUUAAUUCAUGAAUGUGUUUAAAGAUUAAAAAAACAAAAAAAACAUGUUCAAGUUUGUACCUGCUGCGACUGCGGCUCAGGCUUCUCCUCCGAGGGGAUCUAGAAUGUAGGUGAAAUCGGGGGGGAAAUGUUUUAAGCAGGAAUAAAGUGUUUGAGGAAAAUGGAAAACUGGAUCAUCUUGAUGGAAAUGCCCAAUUUGAGUUUUUUUGUUAAAUGUGAUCUUGUUGUUGUAACAAAUGAUUGUGCCAAUUCAAAUAUCAUUGACAAGAGCGAUGCUCAACCGUGGAACUCACUUGUGGGGGGGGGGUCUAAUCUGGUAAAUGGUUAAGCGGUAUAUGCAUAUUUAUAACUACAAUGUACAAUAUUCUCCGAGUGUCACUAGGUUGAUAUUGUGUAUUUGUAUUAAAGUACAUAGUAAAGUAAAUCAGGAAACGAAAAGGGGACGCGCGUUUGUUUUAAGCCGUUUCCUGGCACAAAAGAAGCAUUGCUGCAAACCAGAUAAGUAUUGAUAGACAAUUGUGAACUAAUUUUGAGACAGAGAAGGAAACCUACCCAAAUAUUGCAAGGUCACCCUAAAUGGCCAGUUGUUGCGCCUUGAAAUCUAUCAAGUUGCCUACACAGGCAGCUGAAUGAAGUACAUUCAAAUAAAGACCAGACCACACCAGAAAGCGCGCCUAAUAUUUUGUUGCUCGACUGGGAUGCUUUUAGAUGCUUUAAACUACACACCUGUCAAGUUUAACAUGUGAGUUUUGAAAUUGAAAAAACUCAUAACUAUAAAGAGCAUGAUAAAAGCAACUUACUAUUUUGGGGGGAGUUUUUGGACAAGAAAGAAAUGGCGCACGGUAGCCCUGGUGAGGGAGGUGAAAUUGCAGAGAGGAUCUGCCACAUGCUGCAAAUGUUGCCGAUAAGAAGUUGCUUGUUUGCUGGCUGCAGGGGACGGACGGCUGUGGAGUUUCCCUGUCUUUAUGAGGGGGGCGGAGGGGUGUAAGCCAAUGGCCGCUCCCGUCGAUACUGAGGCGAAUAGUACGAGUAAACACGGCGAUCGGUUGAUAACGUGAGGUGGGCCGCUGUUGAUUGGUUUAAGGUUGGAGCAGAGGAGGAUGCUGUGAACUGCUUGCUCAGGAACCAAAAGGUUGGUGGAACCUGACGACUGGCGCUGCGCCUGGGUCAUGUGACAAAACCAGCCAAGCAGAUCGCUGGUCAGCAGUCACAUGAUGCUGAAAGAGGACUAGUUGACUGACUCAGAUGUUGAGAAGCGUGGUGGUGACUCUGCAACGGGGUUCAGUUUAUUAAUAGAUGGAAAACUGAACGCAGCAAAACAAAAUUUAUACCGACAGAUAUGUAUUCUAAAGUCAUCUAUUUGUGAGUGUGUGGUUGACGAAGUUUAAAUUAAAGCAGUUCUAAGAGUAGCCGUAAUUUUACAAAAUGAAAAAGUUUCAUGUUGGGAGCAGACAAAAUGCUGCUUUUGACAGUUGGGUCUAAUUUGGCACUGCCAAAUAUACGGCACAGAAAUUUGUGAGGCAAACAUUAUUGUGAAUCAUCACAAUGCUUUCUUCGGUUAUCAAUAGGUAACAUUUGUUCAUUUUUGGUUUACUUGUCACAGUAUGGGGAAAUCGGCCAUGUGUACAUACUGCAAA
Molecule: long non-coding RNA, 3262 nt
Organism: Syngnathus typhle (broad-nosed pipefish)
Lineage: Eukaryota; Metazoa; Chordata; Actinopteri; Syngnathiformes; Syngnathidae
Exons: 2
Source: RefSeq, a predicted model, not a curated record